RNAcentral lists this long non-coding RNA (2498 nucleotides) under Sus scrofa (pig). RNAcentral's name for it is "lncRNA (ENSSSCG00000042815.2)". The record is from RNAcentral. Lineage: Eukaryota; Metazoa; Chordata; Mammalia; Artiodactyla; Suidae.
GCCUGAGCUCCCAGGAGAGGCCUGACAGCUGAGGAAUUGCCAGGGAACUAAAAAUGUGGGCAGCCGUAAUUAGAGCGCAUGGGGGUGGGGGGCACUGAGUCUUUCUGGAAGCGUCUAGACACUGCCCCUCCGGGAGUCUCUUUCCAAAAACCUGUCUCCAGCCUGCCCACCUCCUAGACCCCUGGCUUCUGGCUGCCCUUGGGGUCCUCUCAGCUCCAUCACUGCGGAGGGGGGCCGAGGAGGGGCCAGGUGGGAGGGCCGCGGGGGCGUCCUCCUGCCCUCCUGCCCGCUCUCCAGCAGAAAGAAGCUGUCUAGCUUGGGAGUCUGGGGACCUGACUGCUUCUGACUCUGUGACCUUGGCCAGCAGCCGGCCUCUGUGACUCAUUUUCUUCAUCUGUACAAUGAAACCAUUGGACUGGAUGUUCUCGAAGACUCCUUCCAGCGCUGGUGAAUCAACAGUUUCUCCUCCACUCUCCCCUCUCCCCGCCUCCCGUCGCCCAGGGAUGUGUCUGCGGGUCUGCCUGCCGCCACUACGCCUUGCCUUUGGUCUCUGCCCGCUCCCCUGAUGGCGGGGCCGGCUCGCUCCCUGGUUUCCUGGUUCACUCCUCUACUCACUCAACAGACAUGUCAGGGUGCCUGUUUGGAGAUACAGAGGCGUGGCCUGGGCUCCAGAGACUCACGGAUUUAGGGAGAGAGAGGCAUGCCAACAAAUAACUGGCUCAAGGUCUUCACGCCCUGUGAGUCCCCUGGUGGCUCAGCAGGUUAAGGAUCCGGCAUUGUCACAGCUGUGGUGUGUGGCCACCAAAAACAAAACCAAACAAACCAACCAAACAAACAAACGAAAACUUGAUGCCCUAAAGGCAGGAACAGACCCAGAACUGCAAGAACCCAGAGGCAAGAGUGGCCACUGCAGCUGGGGAUCAGGAAGGCUCCUUGUUGGAGGAGGCAGCUGAGCUGGGCCUCGAACCUUGAGCCCACAGGAACCUGGCAGGUGUGGAGGCCCAGGGGGGCCCAGGGAGGAGGACGGGGUGGGAGCGGAGUUUGGAGGGUGCAGGAGGAGGGGCUGGCCAUUCCAGGUGGAGCCAUUCAGAAGGCCUUCUGAGCGCCGUGGCUCCUCAUGGGGUCCUCAGGGCGGGGAGUUUUGUUUCGUUAAUUCCAUACUGUGUCCUGGGAACCAGGCCCUGGGCGUGACACAUAGGGUUCCGUAAGCAUGUGUGGUCAGACGUGCGUUUUCGAUGUGGUGGGAUGGACGGACGAGGGGGCCAGACCCAGGCAGGCCAGCAGGCGGGAAGGUAGGUAAGGGGGGGCCAUGGUGAGAGGCCAGCAGCAGGGGUGGGCAGAACAGGAAGAAGUGGCACUGCCUGGUGACAGCCUGGCUGUGGGCAUGGGGUGAGGAAGGCGGUCUGCUGGGCAGCGACAGAAUGGGAGGGGAGAAGGGGAAGGGGCAGCUUUGGGCUCACUGUGAGACAGGCUGAACUUCUUUGGGGGGCCGUGCCCAUGCGGAAUUUCCCAGGCUGGGGAUGGAUGGAAGCUGUGCACGACAGUGACAACGCCAGAUCCUUAACCACUAGGCCGCCAGGGAAUUCAGGACAGGCUGGAAUUUUAUGCCCACUUUUGGGUGUGUUUCAUGUCCCUCCACCAAGUGGUGGCAUCUUCAGAGCAAGGCCAGGUCUGCUUUUCCUGUAGCCCCAGGCCUUGCCUGAGGCCCGGUUCUGCUGAACCUGGGUAACGAGUUAGAGGGUUCAUGGGGGCUUCUUUGAACGGCUGCCUCAGAUCAGGAACAGAGCCACUGGCCAAAGGCCUCCUCAGGUGUCCCUUCCAAUGUGAGGGAAAAGAAACUGGAGGGGAGUCGGGUGUGGAGACUCCCGACAGGCCACAGGCCUCGGAUCACGGCCACAGGCCUCGGAUCACGGCCCCCUGCUCCGUGGCCCAGACCAGACCAAGGACACCUCCUGUGCCACAGCUCCCACAGCCCAGAGCCGUGACCACACCCGCUGCCGUCUCCGCAGACUUGGGCCAGGGUUCUUGACCUGUGGGGCCGGCCCUGAACGACUGCAGAGCGUCUGUGGGCUCUGAAGUCGCCUGCAGGUGGUGGGCGUGUGGACCGUCUUCUGAGGAAAGGCUUCCCACCCUUCGUCAGAUUCCUGAAGAGCGGCUGAGUCAAAGCGAGGUUAAAAUCUGCCACUCUAAGAGAACAGAAGGAGGAAGAGGAGGAGGAGAAUGUAUUUCAUUGGCUCUAUGUAAGAGGCAGACAGACACACGAGUAGCUAUUAAAAAGCAAAAACCAAACCAAACCAAAACAACACCCCUGCCAGGCCAAGCUCUCCCUUUCCAAGCCCCGUCCCAGCACCCAGCCAGGGCCAGACACACGGAAUUUUCCUUCAGUGACCCCUUAGGGACCACUCACUUUAUACCAGGCCCCCCACCAGGAUGAGGAGAUCCCCUUUCAGCUUCCUCCUGGCCCCCUGUGGAGACCGGAUUUAAAGCUAGAGUUGCUU